RNAcentral lists this ribosomal RNA (1343 nucleotides) under uncultured bacterium. Its description in RNAcentral is "16S ribosomal RNA". It matches the Rfam family "Bacterial small subunit ribosomal RNA", at positions 28 to 1378 of the family's 1533-position model. The record is from RNAcentral.
GACGAACGCUGGCGGCGUGCUUAACACAUGCAAGUCGAACGGAAAGGCCCUGCUUUUGUGGGGUGCUCGAGUGGCGAACGGGUGAGUAACACGUGAGUAACCUGCCCUUGACUUUGGGAUAACUUCAGGAAACUGGGGCUAAUACCGGAUAGGAGCUCCUGCUGCAUGGUGGGGGUUGGAAAGUUUCGGCGGUUGGGGAUGGACUCGCGGCUUAUCAGCUUGUUGGUGGGGUAGUGGCUUACCAAGGCUUUGACGGGUAGCCGGCCUGAGAGGGUGACUGGCCACAUUGGGACUGAGAUACGGCCCAGACUCCUACGGGAGGCAGCAGUGGGGAAUAUUGCACAAUGGGCGGAAGCCUGAUGCAGCAACGCCGCGUGCGGGAUGACGGCCUUCGGGUUGUAAACCGCUUUCGCCUGUGACGAAGCGUGAGUGACGGUAAUGGGUAAAGAAGCACCGGCUAACUACGUGCCAGCAGCCGCGGUGAUACGUAGGGUGCGAGCGUUGUCCGGAUUUAUUGGGCGUAAAGGGCUCGUAGGUGGUUGAUCGCGUCGGAAGUGUAAUCUUGGGGCUUAACCCUGAGCGUGCUUUCGAUACGGGUUGACUUGAGGAAGGUAGGGGAGAAUGGAAUUCCUGGUGGAGCGGUGGAAUGCGCAGAUAUCAGGAGGAACACCAGUGGCGAAGGCGGUUCUCUGGGCCUUUCCUGACACUGAGGAGCGAAAGCGUGGGGAGCGAACAGGCUUAGAUACCCUGGUAGUCCACGCUGUAAACGGUGGGUACUAGGUGUGGGGUCCAUUCCACGGGUUCCGUGCCGUAGCUAACGCUUUAAGUACCCCGCCUGGGGAGUACGGCCGCAAGGCUAAAACUCAAAGGAAUUGACGGGGCCCCGCACAAGCGGCGGAGCAUGCGGAUUAAUUCGAUGCAACGCGUAGAACCUUACCUGGGUUUGACAUGGAUCGGGAGUGCUCAGAGAUGGGUGUGCCUCUUUUGGGGUCGGUUCACAGGUGGUGCAUGGCUGUCGUCAGCUCGUGUCGUGAGAUGUUGGGUUAAGUCCCGCAACGAGCGCAACCCUUGUUCACUGUUGCCAGCACGUUAUGGUGGGGACUCAGUGGAGACCGCCGGGGUCAACUCGGAGGAAGGUGGGGAUGACGUCAAGUCAUCAUGCCCCUUAUGUCCAGGGCUUCACGCAUGCUACAAUGGCUGGUACAGAGAGUGGCGAGCCUGUGAGGGUGAGCGAAUCUCGGAAAGCCGGUCUCAGUUCGGAUUGGGGUCUGCAACUCGACCUCAUGAAGUCGGAGUCGCUAGUAAUCGCAGAUCAGCAACGCUGCGGUGAAUACGUUCCCGGG